UACGUAAGGACCGAGCGUUGUCCGGAAUCAUUGGGCGUAAAGGGUACGUAGGCGGUUAGAAAAGUUAGAAGUGAAAGGCUAUAGCUCAACUAUAGUAAGCUUCUAAAACUGGAGACCUUGAGUAAUGGAAGGGAAAGUGGAAUUCCUAGUGUAGCGGUGGAAUGCGCAGAUAUUAGGAGGAAUACCGGUGGCGAAGGCGACUUUCUGGCCAUUAACUGACGCUGAGGUACGAAAGCGUGGGUAGCAAACAGGAUUAGAAACCCCGGUAGUCC
RNAcentral lists this ribosomal RNA (272 nucleotides) under uncultured Anaerococcus sp. RNAcentral's name for it is "partial 16S ribosomal RNA". It matches the Rfam family "Bacterial small subunit ribosomal RNA", at positions 524 to 796 of the family's 1533-position model. Lineage: Bacteria; Bacillati; Bacillota; Tissierellia; Tissierellales; Peptoniphilaceae. The record is from RNAcentral.